CGAGUAAAUUGAACAAUCGCUGCCACCUUCUGUGGGAGAGGAAAGUCCGAGCUCCAUAGGGCAGGGUGCUGGGUAAUACCCAGUCAAGGUAACUUGAAGGAAAGUGCAACAGAGAUAUACCGCCUAAGGUAUUUUAUAAAUAUACUGGCAAGGGUGGAAAGGUGAGGUAAGAGCUCACCAGCGCAAUGGCGACUUUGCGGCUAUGUAAACCCCAUCUGGAGCAAGAUCGAAUAGAGAGGUGUCUUACGGCUUUUGGUCAGUAAGAGGGGGCGGCCCGUCCUUCCUCUGGGUAGUAUCGCUUGAAUUUACUGGUAACAGUAAAUCUAGAUAGAUGAUUGUUUAAACAGAACUCGGCUUAUAGAUUUAGUCGCAUA
This 374-nucleotide RNase P RNA is filed under the name Clostridium fermenticellae. RNAcentral describes it as "RNase P RNA component class A". It matches the Rfam family "Bacterial RNase P class A". Rfam says of the family: Ribonuclease P (RNase P) is a ubiquitous endoribonuclease, found in archaea, bacteria and eukarya as well as chloroplasts and mitochondria. Its best characterised activity is the generation of mature 5'-ends of tRNAs by cleaving the 5'-leader elements of precursor-tRNAs. Lineage: Bacteria; Bacillati; Bacillota; Clostridia; Eubacteriales; Clostridiaceae. The record is from RNAcentral.